AUCCAGCUGAUCAGUCCCAAAUAGAACGAAAUGCACGUCCUGUAU
RNAcentral lists this non-coding RNA (45 nucleotides) under Schistosoma mattheei. The record is from RNAcentral. Lineage: Eukaryota; Metazoa; Platyhelminthes; Trematoda; Strigeidida; Schistosomatidae.